Molecule: ribosomal RNA, 446 nt
Filed under: uncultured bacterium
Lineage: Bacteria
Description: partial 16S ribosomal RNA
Rfam family: Bacterial small subunit ribosomal RNA
Source: RNAcentral
UCCAGACUCCUACGGGAGGCAGCAGUGGGGAAUAUUGCACAAUGGGGGGAACCCUGAUGCAGCGACGCCGCGUGGGUGAAGGAGCACCUCGGUGCGUAAAGCCCUAUCGGCAGGGAAGAAACAGACGGUACCUGACUAAGAAGCCCCGGCUAACUACGUGCCAGCAGCCGCGGUAAUACGUAGGGGGCAAGCGUUAUCCGGAUUCACUGGGUGUAAAGGGAGCGUAGACGGCGACGCAAGUCUGGAGUGAAAGCCCGGGGCCCAACCCCGGGACUGCUCUGGAAACUGCGGCGCUGGAGCACGGGAGGGGCAGGCGGAAUUCCUGGUGUAGCGGUGAAAUGCGUAGAUAUCAGGAGGAACACCGGCGGCGAAGGCGGCCUGCUGGACCGUGACUGACGUUGAGGCUCGAGAGCGUGGGGAGCAAACAGGAUUAGAUACCCGGGUAA